Octodon degus (degu) is the source of this 161-nucleotide small nuclear RNA. Its record names the gene U1. It matches the Rfam family "U1 spliceosomal RNA". From Rfam's summary of the family: U1 is a small nuclear RNA (snRNA) component of the spliceosome (involved in pre-mRNA splicing). Its 5' end forms complementary base pairs with the 5' splice junction, thus defining the 5' donor site of an intron. Lineage: Eukaryota; Metazoa; Chordata; Mammalia; Rodentia; Octodontidae. The record is from Ensembl.
AUACUCACCUGGCAGGGGAGAUGCCAUGACUGUGAAGGUGGUUUUCCUUGGGUGAGGUUCAUCCGCUGCCCUCAGAUGUGCUGACUCCUGCAACUUCCCCAGUUGCAGGAAACUCCACUGCACAACUGUGGUGGGGGGACCUGUGUUUGUGCUUUCCCCAG